UUUGUAAAUCAUAUUUUGAUACUUCACCAGAAGUAUCUAUAAAGGUAUGGAUAUCAAGGAAGGCAAUGCAUCAAAGGGUUUCAAGCAACUCCUAUAAACCUAAUGCACAUUUCACUAGACUUAAAGUGUGCAAAAAUUAUUUGAAAACACAAGGAAGGGGUUGCAUGCACCGGGGCUUGCCUGGAAUAAACACUAGGUUAGUGUUUGUUAGGUGGCGACCACUUGACGAUCAGCCUUUGUUCCGAUACUUGCUUCGUCCAUCUAUCUUCGGGUUAAUCCAUCAAUAUUAUCUUGCGGAGAAGCUCACACUUUCCAGCAUCUUGUGGUCGACUCAGUUUUGGUCCUCUGCAUCACGUGAUUAAUUAUCGUACCUAAAUGAUUUGCAUAAUGCACAUGAAUGCACAUAAACAGAAAUAUCAUAAACCUAAAUAAUGCUACACCACAGCGAAUUAAACCCCUAGCGGCGAGGCGUUGUACUAUUUUAUACGAAAACACUAGUUAUCGACGUACGACUUAAGCGCAAUAAUUACACUUCUCGAACCUAACGCAAACAUCACGAACAACAAACUAUACACAAGAAAUACAAUUAGCCUAAUCAUAACUUAUCAGUUAAUUAAUUAAAUUCUGAACUAAUCUCUUGCCUUAUAAAUUAUACUACAUCUUUAUAAGUGAUUAAAAUAUUUUAUCAUUACACAUGCCUACCAAAAUUCUACUCAGUCCACUAAUUCAGCUAAGUGACUGGAAUAGCGAAAUAACUCGCUAUAACUGAAUCUGGCUCGAUAAUCGCAAGAACUGCGAAGUCGACGAGAGUUUCGUGACUCACGCAAUUUAUCGAGCACCUAAUGAGCAUCGUACUAACACAUUAAUUUAUUUAACGUUCGAACUAUUCUAAACACUUCAUCAGCUUACCGUUUCCACAGCUGACACGAAUCCGCGAGAUCGGUAGCGAUUUUUCGAUCCAGGCAAUUUGUCGAGCGCUUGGGGAAUAUGGCGCUGCUAGCUUCGUCUUCACCCGAUUCUUGGGAUUUCUUGCUGAUGCACGGAACGACGACGACUUUGAGCUGAAGUCGGGUGCGAGCUGGUGAAGUGGGGUCGAACUGGGACUAGAGGACGACGAACGCCAUGGCGGGUUAGAGACUGGAUUUAACAACGGUGUUGUAUCAUGGCAAAUAGAAAAUCGAUGACCGACCAAGAUGUGAUCGGCGAGUUGAACGACUCUGACGAUUUGACGGCCAUAGACGCAGCCGGGAUAACUAAAAAUACUACGACAGCUAAGAAUCAACUCGGAGACGACGACGGGCACGCACGAGAGGAGCUCGACGCGGAAACUUGACACGCCGUUGCGAGCAGAGAAUUUUCGUGCGCACGACAAACAACGAAAGAGCAAGUUGCGCAUGCGCAGAGAGCUCGACAACCCGCAGCAGGGACUAGCAGGGCGCGAGCUGCGCGCAGGCGCGCGACGACCACGACAAAGGAGCAGAGACGGCGAGCACGCGCGCAGGAAAGGGACCUCGGCCAUGGGCAGGGACUCGCGACCGGCAAGCUGAAGGAGAUGGACGUGGCAUGAACGGACAGAGGGAGCAGGAGGUUCACGACGGGAGCAGAGAAGUCGGCACGCAGGGGAGAACAGCGGCCGAGCAAGAGCUAGAGCUUCACCGACGUGCCGAGAGGAAGGCUGCGCGCGCAGGGGAGUUGAGCGCCGAGCGAACGCAGGGAGAUGUUGAGCUCGCGCGCAGGGCUGAGGAACGCGCGCGCAGGCAGAGCCGCUCGGCAGAGCGCGAGCGAGCAGGGAGACGCGGCACCAGAGCUGGGGCUAGGCGCGACGGACAGAGAUGGAGCGAGCAGAGGCAGCUGGGGAGAAGAAGACCGCACACGAAGGAUAAGCAGCCUGCGCGUGAAAAUAUCAAGCGCGCGGCGUUGGGGAAGAAGAGGUGCUCCACGGUUGAAAUAGAGAGGAGAAAUAUCUGCACAACAGGUCAGGAGAUGAGCAUCGCGAAAAAAAAAUCGAGAGCCACGGGCGGCCGGAGAUAGGAGCAGGAAAGAUUUUUCCAUGGCGCAGAGAUGUUUUGCAACGGUGGAAAAACCUGAAGAAACGACGGCUGGAGAUUUUCUUUCCAAGCGAUGCCGCCAGCCUGUGCGCUGGAGAUCGAAGAGAUAAGAGAAGGGAUCGGCGGCGGAAAAAAAUCUCCAGCACAACGCUGACGGCUCCAGUGUGGCAAGCAAAAAAACCAUGGGAGGGAGAGAGUGACGUGAGGAUAGGGAUGAAAGAGAUUUUUUUUCUCUUUUCUUUUUUUUACGGAAAACCGUAGAUAUUUUUGGAUCGAGAUUUUUAGCGAUCACAAAAGAGUCGACAGCACUUGCGACAUAGUUUGAUUUUUGAUUCGAAACACGAUAUAUUUGAUCUGCGGUCAGAACACAUGAUUCCAUGGUCACGGUAAUUUACCAGAGACUCGAAGCUCAAUUAUAAUUCUCGGUCGCGGAGUCACGGUUUUGAUUUAGCAAAUACUUGGAAUCAGAUGAAUUUGCACCCGUCAUUUAUAUCCAAAGUUUUGGAUCGGGCAACAAACGAUAGACCGAAAUAAACUGAUUUCGGCACUGAUAAUUUGUUCGGCGUGAUUCGACCGAAAUUAGCCGAAACAAUAUCUGCGAGCGUAUACGCAAUUUCGUCGUCAAAACAGUGUGUGAAGGAUAAAUUGAAUCAUAUCCUCGUGCACGAUUUCACUCAGAUGACGCACGAUUCGGAUUAUUUUGCACUGAGUAUUUUAGUCGUCGAGUUCAAAUUAAUCUGUCUGGGAUAAAAAUCAUCCGAGUGAGUCGGGCUUCCGAAUUCGGAUUCGCGCGAGCGAUGAAUUUUAAAUAAUCAUCGGAUGCACCGAUUUUCAGAACACGACGUUCCGAACAUCACGAAAAUUUAGGAUGAGCCCGGAUAGAUACAAAUAAAAACGACGUCGCACACGCGACAGCCGAACAGAUGCGAUAUUAAAAUCGCGAUAGCUGAAGAUGAUUAAAAUUUAGAAUCCGUUUUAUCCACUGAUAUUACGCGCUUAAAUCCAUACUCGUUGUCGAGUGGAAUAUAAACACCUAGGGUGUUACAGCCCUCCCCCCUUAAAAGAAUCUCGUCCCGAGAUUCGGAGCGAAAGACUUCUAAGGGUAGAGCAGCAUGUAACCCAUGUCCAUAUCAGCGAUAAUCGUAAGACAGUCCUGAGCAAUGGCGAGUGUCUCAGAAUGUGGUUUCACUAGUGGACAUAACAUGUAUCGCCUUAGGCUAAUUUAGCAAUGUCCACCAAUAGAGACGAUGUCUGCAAAAGGAACACAUAAGUUUCCAUGUGUGCAGUUUGCUUUCUCUAAUGACACUGUACUAUCUGAGUCUGUUGGGCGAGCGGUAAAUAUGCGACUUUACCCAAAUAGAAUUAGUCGCAACCUCUUGGGUAAAACACACAAAAAGAGGUUUACCAACAAGUGGUUACGAUAACUUCAUAGCAUAGGGGACGGGUGUGAAUAUCGAAUAACAUCACAGUUGACCCGUAGCUGGCCAGAAAAUUCAAGUCCAUGAAAGGUGAUAUAGAUUCGAGAAAAUCACCCGCGGAAGGAUCUGUAGAUGCGGACUUUGCAACCAGUCCGUUUUAUCCAGCACUAUUCAUGGCUUGACUUAAUCACACAUGCUAGAAAAGCACACGUGAGGCAAUCAAGGCAUGACUAGAGAAAUGAUUAGGUGGUGAUUAGUCGAUUUUAACUUAACUUUUGUGAAUACUUUCUUUAGAGUGGGUUAGACCAAAGUGAGUUCAGGCAAAUCGAUAAAAUGAUCUCUAAACUCAACCUUUGUUCACUGGGCAGUUAUAAGUUAGUAAAACCAACUUGUUGAACUACUUUUGACAUUGAGCAGAUCCUCUCAGUACCAUUGGUAAGCCAAGGGUUGAGAGUUCACAUUGGCUAACAGGAGAUUAUGCACUUGGGUAGAAAUCCAUUUGGUCAUGUUGUUCAUCCGUUUCUUCAUGUGAGAUGAAAUGACUUGGUUCGGAAGUACAUGUAGUAAAUAAGGGGACGAAUGAACAAAUCCCUGCAUCUCAACAGCAGGAGAAAUCAAUCUCCAUUUUGAGAGCUAAUCAGUUGUUUUUCAACACUAAAAAGCUCCAAGGCUUCACCUUUACACAAGGGAUGUAAAGGGAACUUGUAUGAGUAGUCACUACCAAGAUCAAAAGAAAAGAGACCACAAAUGAAAGUGGUAUGCCCUUUUGAUCCAACAAAGAGGAUAGAUGUUGCUUGGUCACUUCGACAAACAACACCAAAAUUGUUUCAAGGAAGAGAUCUACAGAAGAUAAUAUAUUAGUGUAGUUCCACAAUGGAUCAUGACUAGAGACCUCGAAACCAGCAUGCGCCAAGCAGCAUAACCUUGCGUGUACAUUCACAAGGGGCUCUCAGUUUCGCUGCGGCACCAUAAGUCCUUAAUCAUGACACCAUUACCGAACUGGCACCAAUAAUGAAUCUCACGUAGGAAAAACAGAUUGUGCUAAGAUAACACAUUGAUAUAGUCUCAUAAUGGAUUACAACUACUAACUGUGAUACCAGUGCGUGCCGAGCAGCACAACUAUGUGUGCGCACACACAGAAGGCCCUCGGUUUCGUCACGGCACCACCGGUUUUAGUCAUAACACCAUUAUCAAACAUAACCAAUAAGAAAUCUCGCACAACACAAAUAGACUGGGCAAGGGUGAUAAUAUACAAAGAGAUACUCCACCUGUAUGAAUAGUUACAAGUAGAGAGCCAAAUAGAUCAUGGCCCGAUGAAAUGAACAAGACAUGGCCAUAACCUAAACUGGGUGGUGAGGGAGUACGAUGGGAGACUGUUAAUUCAGCCUCGAGCAUAUUUCUAUGCCCAUUGCAAAGAUUACAAGGUCGAGAAUUAAGUUGGUAUGCCUUCGAUAGGUAUGGGGAAAUCAAAGGCAUCAAAUUCAAGAAAAUGAUCGGACAUACUUUUCCUAGGUUAGGUUGAUAAUUCAACAUCGAUCAUUAAGAACAGGCGAACUGGUUAAGGUACAUCAGCUUGCACCAAUAAACAAGGGAAUGGUUGUAGAAGGAAACAUGACUCGAGAUUCUUGUUUCAAGUCCGGGUACACUUUAGGUCAACAAAGAUAUUAUCUAAGCCUUUAUUUUUAUGUGUUUGGUCAUGGAGUGAUGAAGGAAAAUUUAAUUUUUGGGUCAUGGUUCACUAAAUAAGAACAUGGCCUAGUUUAAGGUUUAGGCAAAUAAAUCACCAACCUUCUAUCGGUAAAUCAAGUACAAGAGCAAACACAUAUAACACCUAAAUAGAUUACCUAAAGAAUGGAAGACAACUAUUUCCUUAGGGUUCAUAACACAACAUUACACCACAAUAUCUACAAUCACUGGUUACUGGAAUAAAGGCGAGAGAAGCAUUUUGGAUGUAUAGGCGACAAACAUGAUGCAACAAUCAGGAUGCAUGCUCGUCCUAUGCGUCCUCACUGAUUUUGCCAACAUAAUAUGGCAAUAACGUUCUAUCUCGGUGGCAUACUUACGAUCCUCACGGUAUUUUGCUAAUCGUCAACUACACAUACGUUUUCGAGGUUAGUGUACCUGCAGAAAAUUCAUCACAGUCCAAUUUUCCCAUGAUGCAAUUCACACAUGACAGUUUAUCACAGUUUAUACUCCAUAUAUUGCUAUAUGGAGGCCAGCUCAUCAUUAAGCGCCAAGCCAUGCAUAGGCGCCGUUGCCACACUUUAACCAUAGGGCAACUCAUUAUGGUAACUCACCUUCUUACCUGAGCGUAGGUGCAUCGUUACAAGUACAAUACACUUCUCAGCAUUCCCAUGUUUGUAUACCCAUACACAUCCAUGGGGUACUGAAUUCCCAGAAAAGUAAAUACUCCACAUCGCAGCUUUCGUAUAUACAUAUGUAGAACACGUAUAUAGUCAAGCGCCACAAUUAAGCACUUCCCUAGACCGACGUUUGUUCGGUCAUGCUCUCACAUCUCACCUUACCUUGAGCGUCGAUCCAUUCAAAACUGAAUGGCCUCAAAAAUAACAAUACACAUGUAUGCAAUAUCCACCCGAUUGUGGGUUACUGGUUUUGAACUAAGCCACCUGAUAGUCCUUAAUUUAGGGCUUAAUAGAGGAUGUCGCUAGCAUUAUAGUUUUUCAAAACUGUUUUUCAAAGCCAAACAAUGUGUUUAGUUGAAAAUAGGUUUUCCAAAACCAAAACUUUUGUUUUGAAAAUAUGUAUGUGACCGUAUAUACUUAAUCCUGCUCCGAUACCAGCUGUGGCAGAACCUCCCAAGUUAUCGGGCCCACAUGCACCUGUCCUUGUCUCAAAGACCUCAGACUGCUAUGCAGGUGCACCAGAUAACUCAACAGGAUCUUUCCGAGUGCCCCAAGGACCUCGGAUAAACCACUUACAACCAGAACCGCGGGAUUAAGUAACACAAAUCACACACACACAACAUUUUUGCAGCGGAAAUCUUAUUACCAAAUUUUAUAGGUUACAAAAAUUUUACAUUAUUUUAUCGGAGUGAUUACAAAAGUAUAAGUUUGAAAUAUAUGCUAGCUCAAGUGACCAUCCUCAAUAAGAAGUAUAGAAGAAGUACUUAGACUUAUAAGAAGGCCGAGCCCACCGGCACUUAACACCAUCAACAGCAGCACAAAAUUAAAACCUGAAAAACAACAGGGAAUAAAACCCUGAGUAUGGAAUUACUCAGCAAGUCUUACCCGACUAAAGAAAAGACUCUCAAGGGUAUGCUGGAUUUGGGAAUCAAGGAGAGGCUUUAGCAAAAAUCAACUUAGAUACUUUUGCAGAAAUAGCUUACUAAAGUGAGUCCUUACUUUCAAUAUUUUAACGCCAAAUUAAAUAUUAAUAGACUCUGUUUGCAUAUGGUCUACAUUCACCAUCUCAUCAAUACAACAUCAUUUUUAUUCAUGAGAUUCACAUCCUGACUUAGGUUGUAGGGCAGUGACCAAGUCUUCAUAACCGCGAAGGUACGGCGAUCCGAAUCGAUUAUACUCAGCUGAGGAUCUCCAAUCACACGACAUAUGUAGCACUUAAUCCUUGCAUAUGUCAACCCGCCACCGGGGUUCUUAAGACCAGAACAGGUUCACGCGAACCGAGAGCACAGAUACACCACCGUCCAGCCUCUUGCCACGGAGGGUACACGCUACUCUCGCCACCGCUCCACGCCCAUUCCGUGUUAUCUUAUUCUGGCCUUAGUCUGCCCGAGGCAAGGCUUACCCAUGACGAGGCAUGUGACCAGUUAAAGGGUCCUCGAUCAUCAAGCCUACAUACGCAUCCAAUCCUUAAUCAACCUGGGUAGAACAUCACCUGUUCCUAGCCCAAGUCCCGAUUUAAGUAUUUCCACCCUUAGGAUUGUUUGUGUUCCUUAGGAUGAAAAGAGCAUCACAGGGAACUUUGCAGUAAGAUCCCACCACGCUCUCAAUGAAAAUAUUCUUGCAGGUAAAAGCCAUCUUUCCUCAGGAUAACCCCUGAGCUAGGCAGUAUUGCAAAAGACAACCUCUAACCACAAGAUCUAAGCAGGGCUAAGCAUUUUUGUAAAUCAUAUUUUGAUACUUCACCAGAAGUAUCUAUAAAGGUAUGGAUAUCAAGGAAGGCAAUGCAUCAAAGGGUUUCAAGCAACUCCUAUAAACCUAAUGCACAUUUCACUAGACUUAAAGUGUGCAAAAAUUAUUUGAAAACACAAGGAAGGGGUUGCAUGCACCGGGGCUUGCCUGAAAUAAACACUAGGUUAGUGUUUGUUAGGUGGCGACCACUUGACGAUCAGCCUUUGUUCCGAUACUUGCUUCGUCCAUCUAUCUUCGGGUUAAUCCAUCAAUAUUAUCUUGCGGAGAAGCUCACACUUUCCAGCAUCUUGUGGUCGACUCAGUUUUGGUCCUCUGCAUCACGUGAUUAAUUAUCGUACCUAAAUGAUUUGCAUAAUGCACAUGAAUGCACAUAAACAGAAAUAUCAUAAACCUAAAUAAUGCUACACCACAGCGAAUUAAAC
This 8000-nucleotide long non-coding RNA is filed under the name Zea mays. Its description in RNAcentral is "long non-coding RNA (ZMAY_LNC003206)". Lineage: Eukaryota; Viridiplantae; Streptophyta; Magnoliopsida; Poales; Poaceae. The record is from RNAcentral.